This 376-nucleotide ribosomal RNA is filed under the name uncultured bacterium. Its description in RNAcentral is "bacterial SSU rRNA". It matches the Rfam family "Bacterial small subunit ribosomal RNA", at positions 524 to 898 of the family's 1533-position model. The record is from RNAcentral.
UACGUAGGGGGCAAGCGUUGUCCGGAUUUAUUGGGCGUAAAGCGCGCGUAGGCGGCAAGGUAUGUCGUGCGUGAAAUCUCCCGGCUUAACUGGGAGGGGCCGUGCGAAACUGCCUGGCUUGAGGUCGGAAGGGGAAAGUGGAAUUCCGGGUGUAGUGGUGGAAUACGUAGAUAUCCGGAGGAACACCAGCGGCGAAGGCGGCUUUCUGGUCCGAUUCUGACGCUGAGGCGCGAAAGCGUGGGGAGCGAUCCGGAUUAGAUACCCGGGUAGUCCACGCCGUAAACGAUGAGUACUAGGUGUCGGGGGUAUCGACCCCCUCGGUGCCGUCGCUAACGCAUUAAGUACUCCGCCUGGGGACUACGGCCGCAAGGCUAAA